RNAcentral lists this ribosomal RNA (204 nucleotides) under uncultured bacterium. RNAcentral describes it as "partial 16S ribosomal RNA". It matches the Rfam family "Bacterial small subunit ribosomal RNA", at positions 568 to 774 of the family's 1533-position model. The record is from RNAcentral.
UGCGUAGGCGGGUCUUUAAGUCAGGGGUGAAAUCCUGGAGCUCAACUCCAGAACUGCCUUUGAUACUGAAGAUCCUGAGUUCGGGAGAGGUGAGUGGAACUGCGAGUGUAGAGGUGAAAUUCGUAGAUAUUCGCAAGAACACCAGUGGCGAAGGCGGCUCACUGGCCCGAUACUGACGCUGAGGCAAAGACUGGGGAGCAAACA